GUGAUUCUGCAGUCGACGAUUCCUACGGGAGGCAGCAGUGGGGAAUCUUAGACAAUGGGGGAAACCCUGAUCUAGCCAUGCCGCGUGAGUGAUGAAGGCCUUAGGGUCGUAAAGCUCUUUCGCCAGGGAUGAUAAUGACAGUACCUGGUAAAGAAACCCCGGCUAACUCCGUGCCAGCAGCCGCGGUAAUACGGAGGGGGUUAGCGUUGUUCGGAAUUACUGGGCGUAAAGCGCGCGUAGGCGGAUUAGUCAGUCAGAGGUGAAAUCCCAGGGCUCAACCCUGGAACUGCCUUUGAUACUGCUAGUCUAGAGUUCGAGAGAGGUGAGUGGAAUUCCGAGUGUAGAGGUGAAAUUCGUAGAUAUUCGGAGGAACACCAGUGGCGAAGGCGGCUCACUGGCUCGAUACUGACGCUGAGGUGCGAAAGUGUGGGGAGCAAACAGGAUUAGAUACCCUGGUAGUCCACACCGUAAACGAUGAAUGCCAGUCGUCGGCAAGUAUACUUGUCGGUGACACACCUAACGGAUUAAGCAUUCCGCCUGGGGAGUACGGUCGCAAGAUUAAAACUCAAAUGAAUUGACGG
Molecule: ribosomal RNA, 581 nt
Filed under: uncultured Paracoccaceae bacterium
Lineage: Bacteria; Pseudomonadati; Pseudomonadota; Alphaproteobacteria; Rhodobacterales; Paracoccaceae
Description: bacterial SSU rRNA
Rfam family: Bacterial small subunit ribosomal RNA
Source: RNAcentral